GCAGCCGCCACGGUAAUACGGAGGGUGCAAGCGUUAAUCGGAAUUACUGGGCGUAAAGCGCACGCAGGCGGUUUGUUAAGUCAGAUGUGAAAUCCCCGAGCUUAACUUGGGAACUGCAUUUGAAACUGGCAAGCUAGAGUCUUGUAGAGGGGGGUAGAAUUCCAGGUGUAGCGGUGAAAUGCGUAGAGAUCGGGAGGAACAUCAGUGGCGAAGGCGGCCAUCUGGGACAACACUGACGCUGAGGCACGAAAGCGUGGGGAGCAAACAGGAUUAGAUACCCCGGUAGUCCCUGUCUCUUAUAC
Molecule: ribosomal RNA, 302 nt
Filed under: uncultured bacterium
Lineage: Bacteria
Description: partial 16S ribosomal RNA
Rfam family: Bacterial small subunit ribosomal RNA
Source: RNAcentral